UACGUAGGGGGCGAGCGUUUGUCCGGAGUUACUGGGCGUAAAGCGCACGCAGGCGGUCUGCUAAGUUUGGAGUGACAGUUGGUGGCUUAACUGCCAAAGUGCUUCGAAAACUGACAGACUUGAGGGCUUCAGAGGGACGACGGAAUUCCGGGUGGAGUGGUGAAAUGCGUAGAGAUCCGGAGGAACACCAAAGGCGAAGGCAGUGUCCUGGGGAGUACCUGACGCUCAG
RNAcentral lists this ribosomal RNA (229 nucleotides) under uncultured bacterium. RNAcentral describes it as "partial 16S ribosomal RNA". It matches the Rfam family "Bacterial small subunit ribosomal RNA", at positions 524 to 750 of the family's 1533-position model. The record is from RNAcentral.